GAUGAACGCUGGCGGCGUGCCUAAUACAUGCAAGUCGAACGAACAGAUGAGGAGCUUGCUCCUCGGACGUUAGCGGAGGAGGGGUGAGAAACACGUGUAUAACCUACCUAUAAGACUGGGAUAACUUCGGAAAACCGGCGCUAAUACCGGAUAAUAUAUUGAACCGCAUGGGUGAAUGGAGAAAGACGGUUUUGCUGGCUCGUAUAGAGGGAUCCGGGCCGCAUGAGAUAGUUGGGGAGGUCACGGCUUAGCAAGGCAACGAUGCGUAACCGAGCGGAGAGGGUGAUCGGCGACACUGGAGCUGAGCCACGGUCCAGACUCCUACGGGAGGCAGCAGUAGGGAACGGUCCGCAAUAGGCGAAAGUCUGACGGAGCAACGCCGCGUGAGUGAUGAAGGUCUUCGGAUCGUAAAACUCUGUUAUUAGUGAAAAACCGCUGUGUAAGUAAAUAUGCACGUCUUGACGGUAACUAGUCAGAAAGCAACGGCUAACUACGUG
This 497-nucleotide ribosomal RNA is filed under the name uncultured bacterium. RNAcentral describes it as "partial 16S ribosomal RNA". It matches the Rfam family "Bacterial small subunit ribosomal RNA", at positions 28 to 507 of the family's 1533-position model. The record is from RNAcentral.